UACGGAGGGUGCAAGCGUUGUCCGGAUUUAUUGGGUUUAAAGGGUGCGCAGGCGGAACGAUCAGUCAGUGGUGAAAUCUCCCGGCUUAACCGAGAAACUGCCAUUGAUACUAUCGUUCUUGAGUCCAGUUGAAGUAGGCGGAAUGUAGCAUGUAGCGGUGAAAUGCUUAGAUAUGCUACAGAACACCGAUAGCGAAGGCAGCUUACUAAACUGAAACUGACGCUCAGGCACGAAAGCGUGGGUAGCAAACAGG
RNAcentral lists this unclassified non-coding RNA (253 nucleotides) under uncultured Bacteroidota bacterium. Its description in RNAcentral is "uncultured Bacteroidetes bacterium contains 16S-23S intergenic spacer region". It matches the Rfam family "Bacterial small subunit ribosomal RNA", at positions 524 to 776 of the family's 1533-position model. Lineage: Bacteria; Pseudomonadati; Bacteroidota. The record is from RNAcentral.